This 300-nucleotide unclassified non-coding RNA is filed under the name uncultured Glomus. RNAcentral describes it as "sequence contains 5.8S rRNA gene, ITS2". The stretch from base 1 to 71 matches the Rfam family "5.8S ribosomal RNA", at positions 84 to 154 of the family's 154-position model. The record is from RNAcentral. Lineage: Eukaryota; Fungi; Glomeromycota; Glomeromycetes; Glomerales; Glomeraceae.
GUGAGUCAUCGAAUCUUUGAACGCAAAUUGCACUUUCUGGUAUUCCGGAAAGUAUGCCUGUUUGAGGGUCAGUUAAAUAAAAAUCGGUGUUGUUGCUACCCGUAGUGGUGUUAAUGCAUCGGAGUUGAGUUGUCUUUACCUUUUUUGGUUAAAGUGACUUAAAAUUAUGUACGAUCUUUGAACGUAUUUAAAUUAUUUAUGUACGUUUAUAAUAUCAAAUAUUAGGUGCGGUCAUCCUCAUGAUUCACAUCUAUAAUUUUCAUUAUUUGACCUCAAAUCAGGUAAGAAUACCCGCUGAAC